This 73-nucleotide transfer RNA is filed under the name Canis lupus familiaris (dog). It matches the Rfam family "tRNA". Rfam says of the family: Transfer RNA (tRNA) molecules are approximately 80 nucleotides in length. Their secondary structure includes four short double-helical elements and three loops (D, anti-codon, and T loops). Further hydrogen bonds mediate the characteristic L-shaped molecular structure. tRNAs have two regions of fundamental functional importance: the anti-codon, which is responsible for specific mRNA codon recognition, and the 3' end, to which the tRNAs corresponding amino acid is attached (by aminoacyl-tRNA synthetases). tRNAs cope with the degeneracy of the genetic code in two manners: having more than one tRNA (with a specific anti-codon) for a particular amino acid; and 'wobble' base-pairing, i.e. permitting non-standard base-pairing at the 3rd anti-codon position. RNAcentral also lists the same sequence under 2 other names. The record is from Rfam by way of RNAcentral. Lineage: Eukaryota; Metazoa; Chordata; Mammalia; Carnivora; Canidae.
GCCUGGCUGGCUCAGUUGGAAGAGUGUGUGACUCUUGAUCUUGGGGUUGUGAGUUUGAGCCCCACGUUGGGUA